AUCCAUCUGACGAGUCCAAAAUGUAGUGAAACGCGCGUCCUGUAU
This 45-nucleotide non-coding RNA is filed under the name Schistosoma margrebowiei. Lineage: Eukaryota; Metazoa; Platyhelminthes; Trematoda; Strigeidida; Schistosomatidae. The record is from RNAcentral.